Molecule: transfer RNA, 75 nt
Filed under: Cordylochernes scorpioides
Lineage: Eukaryota; Metazoa; Arthropoda; Arachnida; Pseudoscorpiones; Chernetidae
Description: tRNA-Thr
Source: RNAcentral
UGUUAAGGGAUGGGAAUCGAACCCACGACCUUCCGCUUACCGGGCAGAUGCCAUGACCACUAGGCUACUCUGGAC